CUACAAUAAUACUAAUGUGCGGAUAUGCAAAUGAGCUCGCUCCGUUGAUAUCGGUCCGAUUACAUCUGAUAUCGGUCCGUUCCCAUCGAAAGUUCUUGCACGAACUCCGCAAAAACUGCUACACCCCUUGAACUGAGCUUCGGUAGUUCGGUUCCUCUGGGGUUGCGAUUGUGUGGAAAGGUCUCGAAUCUUCGUUUGCUCGCUUCCCUCGCUCCGAAUUUGCGACGUGUCUUCUCUCAAUGGGCCUUGCUCAACGAGGCCAUUUUCUUUGCUAACGCUUCGCUCUCUUUGUUUGUCUUUUCAAAGACUUUUUCUAGCGCUUUCCUGGAUGUUUUGAAAACGUCGAUUGUCAUCCAGUCAGUAGUUGUUGAUUGAAAACCUUGACCUUUGAUUCUAGAGCGAAUAUCCCUUUUCAUCCCUAACUUUUUUGAAAGAGAUCGAGUACCUUUUCAAAGGAUUUUUCAAAACAUUUCCUCCCUCCCUUUGAUGGGUAAAAUACUGGCUUUUGCGUUCGCGUUUCUAAAGGUUCUUUCUCUCUCUUUUCUCUUGCUCUCUACAAAAAGUUUCAAAACUUCUUCCUCCAGCAACCCUUCAAUUUGAACGGAGGCUUUUCAAAUUCGUUUCGCUUUCCACAAAGAAGCUACUGUGUGCCGAUAAUUUCGGUGAUUUGGAAUUGGAUAAAUCUACGUGCACUGCUGCUUGGCAUUCCUUUUCGAACUCGAAGCGGUUGUCGACGGUCGUGUUCUGUGCUACAGUGCUACAGUUACAGCUACAGUUACAGCUACAGCUACAGCUACAGCUACAGCUACAGUAGCUACGCACACUGCUGCCCGUUUUUUGGUUUUGCAAUGGCUGCUGGCUGUUCCACUUCUUCACUGGUAUCAGAAUCGAUGGCAUGCGAAUACAAAUAAACGAUCGGAUUCGCUGACUUUUUGGUUCAACAAAUCAAAGAUCGUUUCAAGCAAUAAUUAUGACCCAGACGUGAUUCUUGACUGUGGAGAAAAGGACUAAAGUUAUAUAGAUUAGCUGUUGUCCGUAAAUUGUAUUUUGUUAAUUUGUUGUUGGAGUAAGAAUCAUUUCUGAUGCACGAAACUUUGGCUGUUUUCUAUCUUUCCAUUUCUUAAGUGCUUUGUUGCUGCAGUGUUUCAAAAGCUAAUUGUGACGAAGAUAUGAUAUGUGGACCUCAAAUGUAUAGAACU
Rhopilema esculentum is the source of this 1199-nucleotide non-coding RNA. Lineage: Eukaryota; Metazoa; Cnidaria; Scyphozoa; Rhizostomeae; Rhizostomatidae. The record is from RefSeq and is a predicted model, not a curated record.